CCCUAUCAAACUUAUUGCAUCUAAUUUUCUUGUUUGGCGAAACCAAGUUCGUUCCACCCUCAUUGGCCUUGAUCUCCUCCACUUCAUCGAUGGUUAUUCAAAACCUCCCAGUAAAACCAAUGCUGAGUAAUCUCACUGGUACAGACAAGAUCAGAUCUUGUUCAGUGCCUUACUUGGUAGUUGCACAGAUGUUAUACAACCCUUGCUAUCUUCUGCUGAAACAUCAUAUGAAGCUUGGUUCCGUCUCACCACAAGCUAUGCCAACGCUUCUCGUUCCUGAAUCAUCUCGCUCAAAUCUAAACUUACCACCAAUCCAAAAGGAUCACGCACUGUUACUAAAUAUCUUCACGACAUGCGAUCCAUUGCCGACGAUCUUGCCUUAGCCCACUUAUAGGUGUAAUUGACAGCUACCUUUACUCCUGUAAAUACUCCUGUAAAGGCUUUAUAUUGGCCACUUAUUUUCCCUGUAAUGUGUGAAAAUUCAAUAUUAAAAUCAAUACCUCAAUAAUGCCUUACCAAGUACACAAGUUAAUGACAACCAAUUCAGGUUUUUUAAAAAUUAAGUUGUGUGUGAUCCUCAAAUAACUCAAUAUAAAAAUACAAUAAUACUUUCCUAACCAUCUGUUUCUCAUUCAAAAUACUUUAAUUAAAAACACUUUGCUCCCUUCCCCUUCCCAUCCCUACCAAUCUCCAUCGUCGGUGAUAAACUCCAAUAAAUAUACAUUUACUUUUGAUCCCUGAUCCUAUAAUAAUGAGCAUGGCCAAAAGCAAAAUUGGACAACUUCAAAGACAUACAAACUCUACUUAGUUCACUUCUUUCGAACAUGGUCAAAACCAACAAAAAAUAUAGAAAAAUAUGUAAUCCUUUUAAACAACGUUCAAGUUAGAGCAUAUACCUGAAAGUCUUCGUCUUGAUGAUGUGUUGUUGGGACGUCCAACAAAUAACAUAACAGUGGACGUCGACGCCUCAAAGAGAAACCACAAUCUUGACUCCGUGACAUAUAGCUUAAAUAUUCUUGAUACUUGACGUCCUUAAAAAAAGUUGUGUACCUAAAUUCGUGAAUUUGCAACGAUAGGUGUGGAGGCGGCUGGAAUCGGAGAUAACAGGGUAGCGGUUGCUAGAAUCGACGAUGUUAGGAUUGGGGGUGACCGGACUGGAUGUUAGGGUGGGGGGUGUCAAAUGAAA
Molecule: long non-coding RNA, 1186 nt
Filed under: Lactuca sativa (garden lettuce)
Lineage: Eukaryota; Viridiplantae; Streptophyta; Magnoliopsida; Asterales; Asteraceae
Description: long non-coding RNA (LSAT_LNC000348)
Source: RNAcentral